Glycine soja is the source of this 3366-nucleotide RNA transcript. RefSeq lists it as uncharacterized. Lineage: Eukaryota; Viridiplantae; Streptophyta; Magnoliopsida; Fabales; Fabaceae. The record is from RefSeq and is a predicted model, not a curated record. The transcript has 9 exons.
AAAGCCGAUUAACGCAAUGUGAAAAAAAAAAACAAAAAACACAGAAUCGGAAAAAGAAGCAUCAUCGCAUUAUCAUCGACUCACCAACGAAAAACGCUGCAUUACACUAUCGGUGUCAGAAAAAGAACGAAAGCUCAGAAAACACACACACAAACACAAAGUGAAGAAAACGAAACGGAAACGAGAAAAAUGGAAACUUUGCCAUUACCAAAGUGUGCGGAUCGUGAUGUUUGAUUCAUAAAGCGACACACGCCCUUUGCUUUUAUGCUCCGGCAAUGCAUCAUCAUCUGCCAUAGAUCCUUAGCUUCGCAGAAUAAUUUCUACAGACCCAUGUUGAUUCUCUCUUUUUGAUUGUUCCAAGGAUCCGUUUUUUUGUGACUUAGCUGGUGCAUUAGCUUUUUAGGUUCCUUGCAAAUCGAAAGAAUCAACCUUGCCUUGCACGUAAGUACGAAUUCGACGCGUUCAGUUCAGGGUUCAUUCUCGCACCACUACCACCGGUCUCUCUCCUGCAUCUGCUGCCUACUGCUACUGCCAAUAGACUAUCUCCAGGAGGAGCCCCAUCAUUAGCUCCCGGGAAUGCAGCAUCAGCAUUGAUCCCCUUUUCAGAUGAACUGGUCUGGGUCUGAAUCUGAAUCUUGGGACGUGCUUUGGAAUGGCUCUGCAUAGAACCAAUGGGGAAUUGUUCACUGAGAGAAGAAGCAUCGAUGAUGCAGUUUUCAAUUCUUUUGAAAAAAGUGAUCAUGGCUCUAGAGUUUUACGUCGUGGUCGAAAGUUUGGUCGGAUUACUAAACACAAACUUUCACGCUGGAUUUUCCUUCUCACAGCACUCCUUUCAAUACUUUUAACAGUUUAUGGUUUGAAAAUGUUUUUUCAAGCUAAAAUGGAAUCCAAGUUCUCAACAAUACCACACAGUAUACAAGAAGAACGUAACCUACAAGAAAAUAUUGUGGUAUCUGAUGAUGGAAAGACGUCUAAAGAAAAUAUUGUGGUGUCUGAUGAUGGAAAGACAUCUAAAGAAAAUAUUGUGGUGUCUGAUGAUGGAAAGACAUCUAAAGAAAAUAUUGUGGUGUCUGAUGAUGGAAAGAUGUCUAAAGGGAAGCGCCGAAAGCAUUUUCCGUGUGAAGUUGGACUUCUGGAAUCAGUAGAUGGCCUUGUUGAACCCAAAAAUUAUACGAACUUUACAUGGUUUUCUCUAGAGUAUGUUGACCGUGAAGAUAGAACAUCCAAAAUUGAUUUAUUUGAACCUCGAUUUGGAGGACAUCAGACUCUAGAGGAAAGAGAAACUUCAUUUUAUGCAAAAAACCAGACUCUUCAUUGUGGUUUUGUAAAAGGGCCACCAGGACAUCCAAGCACUGGAUUUGAUAUAAAUGAAAAGGAUAAGGCAUAUAUGUACAGAUGUAAAGUUGCAGUUUCUUCUUGCAUUUUUGGAAGCUCUGAUUUCCUACGGAGGCCUACAAGUAAACUGAUGAGUCAAUAUUCAAAGGACAAUGUUUGUUUUGUUAUGUUCCUGGAUGAUCAAACGCUAUCCAAACUUUCAUCAGAAGGAAGCAGUCCUGAUGAGAAAGGGUACAUUGGCUUGUGGAAAAUAGUUGUUGUAAAAAACUUGCCAUAUGAAGACAUGCGGAGAACUGGCAAGGUGCCAAAAUUUUUAUCACACCGCCUCUUCCCAAAUUCUAGGUAUUCAAUUUGGCUUGACAGCAAGAUGCGACUCAACUCUGACCCUAUGCUGAUUAUUGAAUAUUUUUUGUGGCGAAGGAAGGCAGAGUAUGCCAUUUCAAAUCACUAUGACCGCCACAAUGUUUGGGAGGAGGUACUCCAAAAUAAGCGCUUAAAUAAAUACAACCAUACAGCAAUUGAUGAACAGUUUAACUUUUACCAGUCUGAUGGCCUCCCCAAGGUUGACCCAUCAAAGCCAAAUGAUCCUCUUCCGAGUUAUGUUCCUGAGGGUUCUUUCAUAAUCAGGGCACAUACACCAAUGUCAAAUUUAUUUUCAUGUCUUUGGUUCAACGAAGUUGAUCGAUUUACAUCUCGUGAUCAACUAAGCUUUGCUUAUACUUAUUUGAAACUUAGGAGAAUGAAUCCAGAGAGACCAUUUCAGCUAUAUAUGUUCAAGGUGAAUUUUUAACACAUUUAACCAUACAACAAUCAGUGCAUUGCCAUAUAAAGGGAGGGCUAUUUUUAUGAGUGAGAGGAACAAAUGUAGGCCACUAAAUCUUACAUGGAUGGAUUGUGAACGUAGAGCAUUAGUGAAGCUAUUCCGGCAUAGGGCACUCCCAUCUCUGCCAGAGACUGCUUGAUCAGUUCCAGAUAUAUAAGGUGCCUUUUGCUGCUGCAUGAUCAUGUACUGUUCAUUUUGAUUAUUUUGAGUGCCAUUAUAAGAAUAUGGCUCUUUAUUAUUUAUUUGUUAUCACUAACUGUUUUCUUUGAUGAAUUAGCUCACUCAAGCAAAUAAGAUUUUUAGGAAGUAUCUCAUAAAUUGUGUAAUGAUAGAAUUCAUGUCAUUUAAAGUUAUAUCCAUUGCUUGAAUUAGGAAGUUGAAACUUGGAUACCUCUACAUAUCAAUUUAGACUUGCAUCCAAAGUAGUAGGGUCUGCUUAUUAUGGCUGAAAGUGUGAAAAGCAAUAUUGAACAAGUUGAAAAUUCGGAAGAAGAAAACAUCAUCUAAUGCUUGAUACAAUAAAAUUGAGAAAUGGUUGAAAAUGGGAUGUGCCUUUUUUCAGUUUUGACCCUCUCGUGACCAGAGUGAAACUCAAAACCUCACAAUAUUUAGUCUUUAUUUUGCACCUUCCCACUAAGCACACUCUUGAUCUUCUUUCUUAAGCUCCUAAGUCCUAACAAGACAUGAUAUGUGAAGGGAUGCGCACUACACUAAGGGCGCAGGUCAUCAUAUUUAACAUCCCUUCCAGCUUGGCUAGCCUGACAAGACACACGUGAUAUGUUUUAAGCUGGACCAAAGAGACAAACUCAUUCCUUGCAGCAUAGUGGAUUCUUAUUCUUCCCUGCAACCUCGGCUGAAGAGUGAUUGCAGGUGCAUUUUUGUGGCCAAGGUUUACUCCAUUAUGGGGUUCAGUGGAAGUUCUUUAUGAGGGAAGGGCAAGUUGAUCAAGGUUUUAGUUUUGUUUAGCUUCCUCAUGUUUAGUGUCAAAUAUGGGGGAUGGGGUGAUUUUGCUAACAUGUAAGAAUACUUUCUUUUUUCUUUGUGUAGCAUGCAGCAGGUUCUCUUUCCUCUCCCAUAAGUAGAGGGUAUUGGCUGGUCAUAAAACUGUAAAUUGCCUUUUAUUUUAGUAACAUUUCUGGUGAAGAGGAUUUUUCUUUCUGUAGCGUGUGUCCUCAUAUCAAAAUAAAAAAAUCAACCACUUUUCUUUA